This 253-nucleotide ribosomal RNA is filed under the name uncultured bacterium. Its description in RNAcentral is "partial 16S ribosomal RNA". It matches the Rfam family "Bacterial small subunit ribosomal RNA", at positions 524 to 776 of the family's 1533-position model. The record is from RNAcentral.
UACGGAGGGGGCUAGCGUUGUUCGGAAUUACUGGGCGUAAAGCGCGCGUAGGCGGAUCUGCAAGUCGGGGGUGAAAUCCCGAGGCUCAACCUCGGAACUGCCUUCGAUACUGCGGGUCUCGAGUCCGGGAGAGGUGAGUGGAACUCCGAGUGUAGAGGUGAAAUUCGUAGAUAUUCGGAAGAACACCAGUGGCGAAGGCGGCUCACUGGCCCGGUACUGACGCUGAGGUGCGAAAGCGUGGGGAGCAAACAGG